CUUAGGGCCCGGAGGACGUUGGGCCUCUGUGAGCAGCAACCUUUCCUAGGGAGUGGCUGGGUGAUGGCCAUGUUAGGGAAAAGAUGUUCUCGUCCGUGGCGCGCUUGGUGCAGGCGAACCCCUUCCACGUGCCUCAUCUGCAGCUGGUGCACGACGGCCUCGCGGACCUCCGCAGCAGCCCUCCGGGGCCCACAGGCCAGCCCCGCCGCCCUCGCAAGCUGGCAGCCACUGCCGUGGAAGAGUACAGUUGUGAAUUUGGCUCCGCGAAGUAUUAUGCACUGUGUGGCUUUGGUGGGGUCUUAAGUUGUGGUCUGACACACACCGCUGUCGUUCCCCUGGAUUUAGUGAAAUGCCGUAUGCAGGUGGACCCCCAAAAGUACAAGGGCAUAUUUAACGGAUCCUCAGUUACACUUAAGGAGGAUGGUGUUGGUGGUUUGGCCAAAGGAUAGGCUCUGACUUUCAUUGGCUACUCCCUGAAGGGCUCUGCAAGUUUGGCUUUUAGGAAGUCUUUAACAUGCUUGGGGAGGAGAAUACUUAUCUCUGGCGCACAUUAUUAUAUUUGCCUGCCUCUGACAGUGCUGAAUUCUUUGCUGACAUUGCCCUGACUCCUAUGGAAGCUGCUAAGGUUCAAAUUCAAACCCAGCCAGGUUAUGGCAACACUUUCAGGGAUGCAGCGCCCAAAACGUGUAAAGAAGAAGGCCUAAAAGCAUUCUACAAGGGGGUUGCUCCUCUCUGGAUGAGACAGAUACCAUACACCAUGAUGAAGUUUGCCUGCUUUGAACCUACUGUUGAAGCACCGUACAAGUUUAUGGUUCCCAAGCCCCGCAGUGAGUGUUCAAAGCCAGAGCAGCUGGCUGUAACAUUUGUAGCAGGUUACACAGCUGGAGUCUUUUGUGCAGUUGUUUCUCUCACUGCUGAUUCUGUGGUAUCUGUGUUGAAUAAAGAAAAAGGUAGCAGUGCUUCUCAGGUCCUCGAGAGACUUGGAUUUAAAGGUGUACGGAAGAGACUGUUUGCCGGUAUCAUCAUGAUUGGUACUCUGACUGCAUUACAGUGGUUUAUCUACGACUCCGUGAAGGUCUACUUCAGGCUCCCUUGCCCUCCUCCACCUGAGAUGCCAGAGCCUCUGAAGAAGCAGCUUGGGUUAACUCAGUAGAUAGAUCAAAGCAAAUGUGGACUGAAUCUGCUUGUUGAUCAGUGUUGAAGAAAGUGCAAAAGGAAAUUUUAUAUAUUUGACAGUGUAGGAAAUUGUCUAUUGCCUAUUCCUGAUAUAAUUACUGUAGUACUCUUGCUUAAGGCAAGAGUUUCAAAUUUACUGUUAAAAUAAACCAACUCUUUAUGAAAAAAAAA
Molecule: RNA transcript, 1347 nt
Organism: Cebus imitator (Panamanian white-faced capuchin)
Lineage: Eukaryota; Metazoa; Chordata; Mammalia; Primates; Cebidae
Gene name: phosphate carrier protein, mitochondrial-like
Exons: 1
Source: RefSeq, a predicted model, not a curated record